GAUAAACGCUGGCGGCGUGCAUGAGACAUGCAAGUCGAACGAACGACCCGGGCUUGCCUGGGAAGUUAGUGGCGAACGGCUGAGUAACGCGUGGGUGACCUGCCCGGAAGUGGGGAAUAACUGCCCGAAAGGGUGGCUAAUACCGCAUGCGGCCACACGUUCGCUCGUGUGACCAAAGCCGCAAGGCGCUUCCGGAGGGGCCUGCGUUCGAUUAGCUCGUUGGUGGGGUAACGGCUCACCAAGGCGACGAUCGAUAGGUGGUCUGAGAGGAUGAUCACCCAGACUGGGACUGAGACACGGCCCAGACACCUACGGGUGGCUG
This 322-nucleotide ribosomal RNA is filed under the name uncultured Chloroflexota bacterium. RNAcentral's name for it is "bacterial SSU rRNA". It matches the Rfam family "Bacterial small subunit ribosomal RNA", at positions 28 to 351 of the family's 1533-position model. Lineage: Bacteria; Bacillati; Chloroflexota. The record is from RNAcentral.